GAUAGAAUCGAAUAGAAAUAGAGAAAAUUAUUAAUCUCACAAGCAGAAAUUCAGCCAAUAUUGAGCUAUUCCAGUCAGUUUGAGCCUCUGGUCAGGAUGCAACCCAACUGUUGAGGUAUUGCAGGUAUAUUUACAUGAAUGGAAACCUCACAAGAGAUUCUGGACACAAGAGAGGUCAUUCUUUUGGUUCACCUGAGGACCUCCUCAUUAUUAUUCAGGAGUUAGAAGAAGUGUCCAGGAUGAGAAGGUCUAUACCUGUUUGUAUUUAAGUCACUAAACAGUAUCAUAAAAAGGAAGAAUUGUUUGUAAUAUGAAAUACAGCAGGCUACAUCUGUAAAAAAACAAAAUAGUCUUCAACAAAAUACUUUGUUUUUCAGUCAAGAUAAUGACCAAUCCCCACAGUUCACUGUUUGAUUAGGAAUAAGAAAAUGUGAAGCAAAAAGAACACAGAAGAAAAAAGGCUUUUCCAGCUGGAAAACAAGAAGGCACUGCUCUCUUCUGCCAAAUGCCAGACACACAGACAGGCAGGUCGACAGUUAUGAAGACAGAUGAAUGAUGCGACGCCUUCAGCACUGAGGGAAAUGAGAUCUGAUGUUGACAGCUAGAUGGACAGACCCCUGGUCUGGCAUUCAGAUGUUUUCAUACAUCUGCUCUGCAUGAUCGCUGAACGCACAGGCACCGUGCAGGUGCUGGAACUUGGCCUUCUCUCGCUAAUUCAGCCGCUUUCUGGGAACAACGGUGCAAGUUGCAUGAUGUUUAGCAUAAUGUGUGCGGAGCAGCGUGCUGCCGAGAUAAACGCUUCACAAGCAAUAAUCUUUCUAAAGACCUGAAGUCUCCAGUGUCAGCCUCCAUGUUCAAAAUCUGCAACGUGUCGGCCUGCUUCAUAAUUCAUGACAUUCAGCCAGCAUUUAUCAAAAGAGUGCUAACGUGCUAAGAGAGAUUACAACACAUAUUAAUCUGUUUUCUUGGCUGUCACACUGCUCUCCUUCCUCCCCUCGUGCACUUUGCAUUUAUUCCACUCGAUGGCUACAUCCAUACUCUUCACCGUGAAAGGAUUGCAGGUUGGUGUUUGUGCCCUGCGGGGUUGAAAAAUUACAAAUAGAUAUACCCUUUAUAAACAAAGCCCAGUCUGUCAUGGGAGAGCAGUCCUGUGCAGCAAUCAGCCUCAGGACGCCAUUGCAUUGUCUCACAGGGGGAUGGAGGGGCCGGUAGGUGGCAGUCGUGUCCCAUUUGCAAGGUCCACAUGGGAGAGAGCAUCUUCUACAUCCUCAUUCUAAAUCCCACUCCUUUUCCCCUGCUGUGGCUUUUAUUCCCACAUAAAUUGGAUCUCCACACAAAUAAAAACGAGGGUUUGUUUUCUCUUAUUACAACUGACCAAUAAAUGAAGGGAGAAAAGAGAGAAAAAGGCAUCAUGUAUACCUGGGGACCUUCACUCUCUCCGCACGGGGGAGAAACGCAGAAGCUGUGGAAGUUCAGAACAGCAUGACGUUUGGAAGGGGGAGACGAUAUUUCUGCUGUCCUGACGGCAUGUCUGACUGACGACCGUCAAUCCCCCAACAGUCACUGGCGGAGUGGUCUCAUAUUGAGAGCACAGCUUGUUAGUGGGAGGUAACCUACACGAUUCCAUCUCCUGAACUUAAUUCAAUGUCUGUUCCAGUCCGCGCCGAGAACCUGGCGUGGAGGUAAAACCACAAAAGCGCACGGUGGCCCUUUGAAGCGCCCAGGCGGACGCAGGGAAACGCGCUCAUUUGCGACCACAGCCGGAAAAUCCUCCGCAGUCCAAAGAAGAGAAAAGGACUGAGGCGUCUGGCACCUUGUGGAUAAAGGGCUGGAGGGGGGAAAUGUUUUAGCAGAUCAUGGCGCGGCGCGAAAAGGAACAGGUACAAUAGGCGCAGAAGUCAUGAGCUCCAACUCCCCAUCAGACAGACCAGGUUUGUUGCAGGGGAUGUGUGUACAGUGAGGGCUCCUUCACACUGACAGGAGCCCCUCGAUGAUUUAUAGGGGGGAAACCCAUGGGAUCCUGUCUUUCGGCGGUCCAUCCCGGUUUGACGCAUUUACGUCUUGGAUGUGGAGCGGAACAUGAAGCGGACGAUCACGUUUGAUCGCGUAAACUUUAUCACAUGUGCUUAGGCUUGGGCUGCCGCGCGACUGCUGUCAUCGACAGGGAGACGUGAGCAUCUUGAAAUUCUGCAAUGGAUUGCGCCACGAGGUUCAACCCGGCUGGAUGACAGAGACGGAGCGGAAAAGGGACUUGAUGAAAACUUAAGACGUAAGCGAGGGGACGUUAAAGCAACCACACCUCUGCUACUCAGCGUCUGGAUAAUAGUGUGCCUAACUGACGAGCUUCUCGGGAUCUAAGCCUGCCUGGACACUGACCACAAGAGCUUCUGCGCCCACUUUCAACUUGGUCGGAAAACGCGCGGAGGGAGCGCUACUUUCCAACGACCUGACUAACCACCAGGAGAAAAUAUGUGACCACACCAGGCAUCGUCUUCAAUCAGGAGAUUAGUUUCAACAAUGGCACUUGUGGGUACCUCCGUGCUCUGCUCGUCCCAAAAGAAGAGGAAAUGUCCGCUGCAUUAUGGGUUACCGUCGCUGUGAGAGUUAAAAUCACGCCAUCUGGACUAAUGUAUGGAUUAUACAUCAUUUUGAAAGUGGGAACGCAGUGAGUCUGGCAAGAAAGUCACCACGGAUUCUGUAAAAUCGUCUAAAAAUUGGAGAUUUUUUUUUUCCUUCUCGCCCCAAUGCAUUUUUUUUCCUUUUUCAUUUUGGGAGGGGGCAGUGGAAGAGGGACAGUUCGCAAUCUAAAGCAGAGAUUCACCAGAGCUGGCGUCUGAACGAAGUCGCCAUGAUAGAAUGGAAGCUAUGAGGAGGAUCACAACCCUUUGGAGCGGUUACUGAACUGCCAGGUAAGAAAAAAAUGGAAAAGUGUGAAGGCUAAAAAAGACUUCGACCUAAGUCGCCUAAGACGGAGGGCUAAAAGAAAUCGAUACUUUUGUGUGUUUUUAACCAAUUUUCCAACUUGAUUAUGUUACAAAAGCUGACAGAUGUUGAAAAGCUAAACAAGGGCCACUUCUGCAGGAGUAAACUGUCCUCAUCAUUCCAGCAAACUACUGCUAGAACAGGUCUUAAACACAGCACAGUCAAACUGUAACUAAUUCUGACAUAUUGAAAACUGUAAAUCACUUUGUGUUUCCCUGCCUUCUCCACUGCGUGUGCUGGGAUUAUUCCCCAGCCUCCUGUGUUCAUGAAAAGGAUUUAUUGAAGGAAGUAAAUGAGCGACUGAAUGGAUCAGCUGCACUAAACCCCUGCAUAUUUACUUUUUUUUUAUUAUUAUUAUUUUCUGUUUCGACCAGUAGGUUAAAAAACCUACUUAGUACAUCUUUUAAGAUCAUUUAUUAACAUUAAAAUGGCAAUCAAAGGAAAACAGAAACCGCAUCAACUUCAUUCUUAAAAAAAAAAAA
Molecule: non-coding RNA, 3464 nt
Organism: Oryzias latipes (Japanese medaka)
Lineage: Eukaryota; Metazoa; Chordata; Actinopteri; Beloniformes; Adrianichthyidae
Source: RefSeq, a predicted model, not a curated record